CUUGGAAUUUCUCAGAUGAAAAAGAAAUACAUGAAUAUACUACCUAAAAAACUCAUUUUUUGGAAAAAUAAUAGGAACAGACAGACUUUAUUGUCGUUUGCAUCGAUUCCUUAGAUAAAAAAAAGAUGUGGAAGAGAACACUGUUUGAAACAAGACUCCAGACGAUGUUAUCGCUCAGAGGAAAUCGGAUAGGUCUUGAAAAUUUACAAUAAAAAAGUAAACUACUACGUUCAAGAAAAUAAAGCGUGCAAAAGAACAAACAUCUUAUUCGAAACUAUGCACAAUGCGCAACUUAUUUUGGGGCAGAAGUUCGCACUGACACCUACAUCGUAAAUAUUUAAAAAUUAACAUCAAUGCAUCAUUUUAUACCACCAUAGUAGUACGUAUUGGAAACAAUCGAGGCAAUUAUAUUUCCUUGGUGGAUACAACGUGGUCGACAAUAAUACAAUAGGGGACAUGGAAGAAUUCGUGUAGUCAACACCACAGGUUACACCGUGGAAGAUUCAUGAUCUUAUUGUGGAAAUUGUAAAAAUACGAAAUGAAAAUAUAGUAAAAUUCACAUUAGCGCAAUACUUCUAUAUACAUGAAGCCUUCAACCGUAUUGUUUAUGCUGAUCUCAAACAUUACAUUGAGUCACUGGAUAGUGCAGAAUGUACAUAAAGUUAGUGAAAAAUUUUAACAAUGAUUAUUAUACGCCAAAAUCUAUUAAGUAUAAAUGUGAUGCAUUAAAAAAAUUGCGUGAAGUUUAUGAUGAAACUUCAGUCGUAGAGUGCAAAUUACUAAUGUACGCUACUGAUAAAAU
Long non-coding RNA from Acromyrmex echinatior (Panamanian leafcutter ant), 802 nucleotides. Lineage: Eukaryota; Metazoa; Arthropoda; Insecta; Hymenoptera; Formicidae. The record is from RefSeq and is a predicted model, not a curated record.